UGGAGCAUGUGGUUUAAUUCGACGCAACGCGAAGAACCUUACCAGGGCUUGACAUCCCCUGACCGCGUAUGAAAGUACGUUUUCACCCUCGGGUGACAGGGAGACAGGUGGUGCAUGGUUGUCGUCAGCUCGUGUCGUGAGAUGUUGGGUUAAGUCCCGCAACGAGCGCAACCCCUACGUUUAGUUGCUAACGCGUGAAGGCGAGCACUCUAGACGAACUGCCGUUGACAAACGGAGGAAGUGGGGAUGACGUCAAAUCAUCAGCCCCUUAUGUUCUGGGCUACACACGUGCUACAAUGGCCGGUACAGACGGACGCAAAGCCGCGAGGUGGAGCAAAUCCUAAAAAGCCGGUCUCAGUUCGGAUUGCAGGCUGCAAUUCGCCUGCAUGAAGUCGGAAUCGCUAGUAAUCGCAGGUCAGCAUACUGCGGUGAAUACGUUCCCGGGCCUU
Molecule: ribosomal RNA, 449 nt
Filed under: uncultured Pelotomaculum sp.
Lineage: Bacteria; Bacillati; Bacillota; Clostridia; Eubacteriales; Desulfotomaculaceae
Description: bacterial SSU rRNA
Rfam family: Bacterial small subunit ribosomal RNA
Source: RNAcentral